GGAGAGGUGCCGGAGUGGUCGAACGGGGCGGUCUCGAAAACCGUUGUGGGGGUGACUCCACCGUGGGUUCGAAUCCCACCCUCUCCGCCA
This 90-nucleotide transfer RNA is filed under the name Oceanicella actignis. RNAcentral's name for it is "tRNA-Ser". It matches the Rfam family "tRNA". Rfam says of the family: Transfer RNA (tRNA) molecules are approximately 80 nucleotides in length. The record is from RNAcentral. Lineage: Bacteria; Pseudomonadati; Pseudomonadota; Alphaproteobacteria; Rhodobacterales; Paracoccaceae.